GACGAACGCUGGCGGCGUGCUUAACACAUGCAAGUCGAACGGAAAGGCCCUGCUUUUGUGGGGUACUCGAGUGGCGAACGGGUGAGUAACACGUGAGUAACCUGCCCUUGACUUUGGGAUAACUUCAGGAAACUGGGGCUAAUACCGGAUAGGAGCUCCUGCUGCAUGGUGGGGGUUGGAAAGUUUCGGCGGUUGGGGAUGGACUCGCGGCUUAUCAGCUUGUUGGUGGGGUAGUGGCUUACCAAGGCUUUGACGGGUAGCCGGCCUGAGAGGGUGACCGGCCACAUUGGGACUGAGAUACGGCCCAGACUCCUACGGGAGGCAGCAGUGGGGAAUAUUGCACAAUGGGCGGAAGCCUGAUGCGGCAACGCCGCGUGCGGGAUGACGGCCUUCGGGUUGUAAACCGCUUUCGCCUGUGACGAAGCGUGAGUGACGGUAAUGGGUAAAGAAGCACCGGCUAACUACGUG
This 468-nucleotide ribosomal RNA is filed under the name uncultured bacterium. Its description in RNAcentral is "partial 16S ribosomal RNA". It matches the Rfam family "Bacterial small subunit ribosomal RNA", at positions 28 to 507 of the family's 1533-position model. The record is from RNAcentral.